UAUUCUAUCAUCAAUUCAACAAAAGAACUAAAAAAAAAAAUAAAGAAACAAACUGAAGAUAUUAGGCAAAAUCAAAGAACAAAAUCAAAGAACAGAGACAAAAGUACACUAGAUUGAAUGAAAGAGUCUCAAUCACUCUUCAGAAAGACAUUCUGAGAAAAUUAAGCCCUCUAUGGGGUCUUUUUAGUUCAUAUUUCAGAACUUAAAGUGGAAAUUCUC
Molecule: long non-coding RNA, 219 nt
Filed under: Vigna radiata
Lineage: Eukaryota; Viridiplantae; Streptophyta; Magnoliopsida; Fabales; Fabaceae
Description: long non-coding RNA (VRAD_LNC016266)
Source: RNAcentral